Molecule: ribosomal RNA, 425 nt
Filed under: uncultured bacterium
Lineage: Bacteria
Description: partial 16S ribosomal RNA
Rfam family: Bacterial small subunit ribosomal RNA
Source: RNAcentral
GUGGGGAAUCUUGCGCAAUGGGCGAAAGCCUGACGCAGCCAUGCCGCGUGAAUGAUGAAGGUCUUAGGAUUGUAAAAUUCUUUCACCGGGGACGAUAAUGACGGUACCCGGAGAAGAAGCUCCGGCUAACUUCGUGCCAGCAGCCGCGGUAAUACGAAGGGGGCUAGCGUUGCUCGGAAUUACUGGGCGUAAAGGGCGCGUAGGCGGACAGCUUAGUCAGAGGUGAAAGCCCAGGGCUCAACCUUGGAAUUGCCUUUGAUACUGGCUGUCUUGAGUUUGGGAGAGGUGAGUGGAACUCCGAGUGUAGAGGUGAAAUUCGUAGAUAUUCGGAAGAACACCAGUGGCGAAGGCGACUUACUGGACUGUAACUGACGCUGAGGCGCGAAAGUGUGGGGAGCAAACAGGAUUAGAAACCCUGGUAGUCC